GAAAGCCAUCUGUUUCCAAUUUAAGAUACUGUUGUAACUAUUGAAAACUUUAACUUGUCAAUUAUUCUCAUAUGAGAAGGAUCUCGUAACCCAUUGGGCCACCCUUCCCUGUUUUGUUGACAUUCACAGUUGAGUUGGACAUACUUGCUAGACAGUUUGAUUAUUAUAUAAUUUAUUGGAAAAUGGACCAUAGCUUUUUAUAGCUUUAUUUUUCAGAAUCAUUCUGCAUCAUGGCUGAUGGUGUGCUUUGGACUACCCCUUUGAUAUACCAUUUCCUAUGCAGAGAAAAUUGCUUAGUUGGGCGAUCUCUUUUCUGCCUUGGGUUGCUUAUUCGUUAUGGAAACUCUUUGCUGAGUACAUCCUGCUCCAGUAACAAAAAUAUAGAUGUCAAGAACAGCCUCAACUUGUUUAAAAAGUAUCUUCAUGCGGAGGAUUUUGUUCUAAAGGUCAGAUCGUUGCAGGUAUGCCCCUUCAGCAUUUGCCCAUAAAUGUGCGUGUGCACCCCCCACCACGAAAGAGGAAGGGAGGGAUUUUAGCUCGUCUUAUUUAACUUAUGCAAGCGUUGCAAAAUAUCUACGAGUAUCUUCUUGAUGCAGAAAGUCAAAUGGCAACUGAUAAUACCAGUAAUAAUGCGGUUAAUUAUUCCGUAGAUGGUGGCCAUAGUGUUCCUGUUGCUGCAGGUGCCGGUGAUACUAAUAUCUGUGGGGGAAUAGUUCAAUUGUAUUCGGAUAACAUCUUAGGAAGAUGUUUAGAUGUGAAUGAACAAGUUCGCCAAUCUGCUGUGAAGUUAAAAUCUUGUCUGUGUUCUUAUCCUUGGUUGUUUGUCUAAAUUUUUUUGAUUCAAAUAAGUGAACUGGUCUGCCCAAACAAGCCAAUCAGUAAGACUAAUAUUUUUUUAUUUUUUAUUGUGGAUUUAUUGGUCAUUUGGUUAGUUCGAGAACAUGAAAACAAGGACGUUAAAAGUCUAAAAGCUAGAGGCAUUGAUUUUUCCAUUAUUUUAAUUAUAAGUUAUGGGCUAGAAUUCAUAAAUGGAGUUUCUCAUGUUGUGAAAUUCAUGAUCUUACUAUUAUCAGUAUCCACUGUAACGUGACUUCCAAACUUGAAAAUUCUGAAUAUAAACUCAAUGAACUGGAUUUGAUAGCUGAAACUAGGCCUCUGGACGAGGAGGAGUUGAAGUUGAAAAGGGAGACCAGAAAUGAUAUGUGGAGGCUGAGCAGAAAGUUGCAAUGGGAAUGGCUUCAAAAAUCAAGGCUUGACUGGAAUCUGAAAGGAGAUAGAAAUACAAGAUACUUCCAUGUUUCGGCUACCAACAGACAAAAUAGGAAUUCACUCAACUCUAUCACAAAAGGAAACUUAGUUCUUGACGAGCCAAGUCAAGUUAAGAAUGAAGUUUGGGCCUAUUUUUCAAAGCAUUUCACAGAAGAAUGGUUGAUCAGACCAGUGCUUGUUGGGGACUUUAAAAGUGUAAGGCACAGUGACUCAUUCCAUGGGCUCGAAGAGGAAUUUAUUGAAGUGGAGGUUUGGGCAGCGGUUAGAGAUUGCAAUGGGAAUAAAGCUCCAGGGCCAGAUGGCUUCAACCUGAUGUUUUUCCAAAAAUAUUGGAAGGUGAUUAAGGAGGAAGUGGUUAAUUUUAUGAAGGAAUUUCAUACCCGUGGCAAACUAAUCUGAGGUAUGAAUAGUACUUUCACCUCUCUCACUCCUAAGA
Camellia sinensis is the source of this 1705-nucleotide non-coding RNA. The record is from RefSeq and is a predicted model, not a curated record. Lineage: Eukaryota; Viridiplantae; Streptophyta; Magnoliopsida; Ericales; Theaceae.